Non-coding RNA from Cinara cedri, 282 nucleotides. The record is from the annotation of a GenBank genome assembly. NCBI's taxonomy places the organism in Eukaryota, Metazoa, Arthropoda, Insecta, Hemiptera, Aphididae.
GUAAAUCUCGUGGGAUCAACGUAAACUUCUUGUCACCAACUAUUGAUUUUCGAAGUUUUAAAUUCAACGCGUAUUCCGGGCGAAAUUCCCUAAGUAUACCCUUCGCGAUAGUUUUCGCAAGCCAGUUGACGACAAGAAUAACGUGUAAAGCAGAAACUAUACACCUAUAUUGCAAUGGACUACUUUAAAAUGUAUAUAAGCAGUUCUAAUACCUAUAUUUUAGGCAGCUACAGGUAAGCAUACGCUAGAUCAGCCCUUGUUUUUUUUUACCCGUAAGCAAUA